CGGACGGGUGAGUAAUGCGUAGGGAUUUAUCGUUGGGUGGGGGAUAACCUUGGGAAACUGGGGCUAAGACCGCAUGACGCCUUUGGGCCAAAGCAGUGAUGCGCCUGACGAGGAGCCUGCGUCCGAUUAGCUAGUUGGUUGGGUAAGAGCUGACCAAGGCUUCGAUCGGUAGCUGGUCUGAGAGGAUGAUCAGCCACACUGGGACUGAGACACGGCCCAG
RNAcentral lists this ribosomal RNA (220 nucleotides) under uncultured bacterium. RNAcentral describes it as "partial 16S ribosomal RNA". It matches the Rfam family "Bacterial small subunit ribosomal RNA", at positions 99 to 334 of the family's 1533-position model. The record is from RNAcentral.